UACGUAGGGUGCGAGCGUGAAUCGGAAUUACUGGGCGUAAAGCGUGCGCAGGCGGUGAGCUGUGUCCGAUGUGAAAGCCCCGGGCUUAACCUGGGAAUGGCAUUGGAAACUGGCUCGCUGGAGUGUGGCAGAGGGGGGUGGAAUUCCGCGUGUAGCAGUGAAAUGCGUAGAGAUGCGGAGGAACACCGAUGGCGAAGGCAGCCCCCUGGGCUAACACUGACGCUCAGGCACGAAAGCGUGGGGAGCAAACAGG
Molecule: ribosomal RNA, 253 nt
Filed under: uncultured bacterium
Lineage: Bacteria
Description: partial 16S ribosomal RNA
Rfam family: Bacterial small subunit ribosomal RNA
Source: RNAcentral